RNAcentral lists this ribosomal RNA (468 nucleotides) under uncultured bacterium. RNAcentral's name for it is "partial 16S ribosomal RNA". It matches the Rfam family "Bacterial small subunit ribosomal RNA", at positions 28 to 507 of the family's 1533-position model. The record is from RNAcentral.
GACGAACGCUGGCGGCGUGCUUAACACAUGCAAGUCGAACGGAAAGGCCCUGCUUUUGUGGGGUGCUCGAGUGGCGAACGGGUGAGUAACACGUGAGUAACCUGCCCUUGACUUUGGGAUAACUUCAGGAAACUGGGGCUAAUACCGGAUAGGAGCUCCUGCUGCAUGGUGGGGGUUGGAAAGUUUCGGCGGUUGGGGAUGGACUCGCGGGUUAUCAGCUUGUUGGUGGGGUAGUGGCUUACCAAGGCUUUGACGGGUAGCCGGCCUGAGAGGGUGACCGGCCACAUUGGGCCUGCGAUACGGCCCAGACUCCUACGGGAGGCAGCAGUGGGGAAUAUUGCACAAUGGGCGGAAGCCUGAUGCAGCAACGCCGCGUGCGGGAUGACGGCCUUCGGGUUGUAAACCGCUUUCGCCUGUGACGAAGCGUGAGUGACGGUAAUGGGUAAAGAAGCACCGGCUAACUACGUG